Molecule: ribosomal RNA, 138 nt
Filed under: uncultured bacterium
Lineage: Bacteria
Description: partial 16S ribosomal RNA
Rfam family: Bacterial small subunit ribosomal RNA
Source: RNAcentral
CAGUGGGGAAUAUUGCACAAUGGGCGAAAGCCUGAUGCAGCAACGCCGCGUGAGCGAUGAAGGCCUUCGGGUCGUAAAGCUCUGUCCUCAAGGAAGAUAAUGACGGUACUUGAGGAGGAAGCCCCGGCUAACUACGUG